RNAcentral lists this transfer RNA (64 nucleotides) under Diplectrona hexapetala (nom. nud.). RNAcentral describes it as "tRNA-Cys". Lineage: Eukaryota; Metazoa; Arthropoda; Insecta; Trichoptera; Hydropsychidae. The record is from RNAcentral.
AAUCUUAUAGUUUAAUAUAAAAUUUUAAAUUGCAAAUUUAAGGAUAAAAUAAUUUUUAAGAUUU